GUAUUUUAAAAUUGAGUGAUUAAAAUGUUCAGUAUUCCAUUUAGGUUUUACUUUUUUUCUAUUUUAUUUAUUUAUAUGAUAUUGUCCAUGAUGCAAUUUGGGGACCACAAGGCAUGUACUAUUUGAUAACAAUAACCCUUUCAAAGAAGGGAACAAUACAUCAUCUGUGGGUAGGUUGCAAGAAGUGGUUAUGGUGGAUUUGUUCAAGACAAUAUUUUGAAAGUUCCUUAUUUUGACCAUAGUUGUUCAUGCACUUUGGUUUUACAUGCAGAGGACUUUGGGUAUUGAUCACCAUUACCAGCUGAUUAAGUGAAGGCAUCAAGUGAUUUUGAUUAUAGAGAGAGUUCACCAAAUGACCGAAUUCAAGGUCGUGGUGGAUUAGGAAGAGGAAGGACUAGAGGUAUUAGUUUUAUUGCAGCCGAUUAUGAGGAUGGAGGCUGGAAUCGCAACAUGAAAAAUGCUAGGGGUGAAGGGGCAGAGUAAGAGGAUGUGGUUUUUGUGGAUACAACCAAGAUAUACCUCCUUAUGGAUGUAACACUUAAUCCUUAUUGUUUUAUUUUUAUUUUUUCAUUUUAACUGGAUGGGAAGCAUUGUCAUUUUUUCCUUUUUUCCUUUUUUCCUUUAUAUUAUGAAAUGAUUAAAUUCAUUAUUCUGUGUAUAAAAUAUCAUAUCUUCCUUUACAUCCGACAUUUAACCUUUUUAUCCAAGGAUGUGCUGCAACAUGUCGUCUUUUAUUCAAAUGUCUUUUUUGUAUAUAGAUGAGAGAAGACAAAGAAUUAUAUAUCUUGCAGUGUUGAUUAUUUUGAA
Arachis ipaensis is the source of this 807-nucleotide non-coding RNA. NCBI's taxonomy places the organism in Eukaryota, Viridiplantae, Streptophyta, Magnoliopsida, Fabales, Fabaceae. The record is from RefSeq and is a predicted model, not a curated record.